Molecule: ribosomal RNA, 391 nt
Filed under: uncultured soil bacterium
Lineage: Bacteria
Description: bacterial SSU rRNA
Rfam family: Bacterial small subunit ribosomal RNA
Source: RNAcentral
AGAUUGAACGCUGGCGGCAUGCUUUACACAUGCAAGUCGAACGGUAACAGGCCGCAAGGUGCUGACGAGUGGCGAACGGGUGAGUAAUGCAUCGGAACGUGCCCAGUCGUGGGGGAGUAACGCAGCGAAAGCUGUGCUAAUACCGCAUACGAUCUAUGGAUGAAAGCGGGGACCGAAAGGCCUCGCGCGAUUGGAGCGGCCGAUGUCAGAUUAGCUAGUUAGGUGGGGUAAAGGCCCACCAAGGCGACGAUCUGUAGCUGGUACUGAGAGGAUGAUCAGUCGACACUAGGAACGUGACGACACGGUCCAGACCGUCGUACGGGAGCGAGCAGUGGGAAUUGUAGGACAAGUGGACGAAACGCCUAGACUCCGACGCCAGUCGCCGUCGUGU